GACGAACCACACGAACGUUAUUCGGAAUUACUGGGCUUAAAGGGUGCGUAGGCUGUGCGGAAAGUUAGGUGUGAAAUCCCCGGGCUCAACCUGGGAAUGGCAUUUGGGACUGCAAGGCUGGAGUUUGGCAGAGGAGACUGGAAUUCCUGGUGUAGCAGUGAAAUGCGUAGAUAUCAGGAGGAAUACCGAUGGCGAAGGCAGGUCUCUGGGCUAUAACUGACGCUCAUGCACGAAAGCGUGGGGAGCAAACAGG
RNAcentral lists this ribosomal RNA (253 nucleotides) under uncultured bacterium. RNAcentral describes it as "partial 16S ribosomal RNA". It matches the Rfam family "Bacterial small subunit ribosomal RNA", at positions 524 to 776 of the family's 1533-position model. The record is from RNAcentral.